Molecule: transfer RNA, 84 nt
Filed under: Alkalispirochaeta alkalica
Lineage: Bacteria; Pseudomonadati; Spirochaetota; Spirochaetia; Spirochaetales; Spirochaetaceae
Description: tRNA-Leu
Rfam family: tRNA
About the family: Transfer RNA (tRNA) molecules are approximately 80 nucleotides in length.
Source: RNAcentral
GCGGCAGUGGCGGAACUGGUAGACGCGCUAGCUUGAGGGGCUAGUGUUCGCAAGGACGUGGAGGUUCAAGUCCUCUCUGCCGCA